AACGAACGCUGGCGGCAGGCUUAACACAUGCAAGUCGAACGCCCCGCAAGGGGAGUGGCAGACGGGUGAGUAACGCGUGGGAACAUACCCUUUUCUACGGAAUAGCUCUGGGAAACUGGAAUUAAUACCGUAUACGCCCUACGGGGGAAAGAUUUAUCGGGGAAGGAUUGGCCCGCGUUGGAUUAGCUAGUUGGUGGGGUAAAGGCCUACCAAGGCGACGAUCCAUAGCUGGUCUGAGAGGAUGAUCAGCCACAUUGGGACUGAGACACGGCCCAAACUCCUACGGGAGGCAGGAGUGGGGAAUAUUGGACAAUGGGCGCAAGCCUGAUCCAGCCAUGCCGCGUGAGUGAUGAAGGCCUUAGGGUUGUAAAGCUCUUUCACCGAUGAAGAUAAUGACGGUAGUCGGAGAAGAAGCCCCGGCUAACUUCGUG
Molecule: ribosomal RNA, 431 nt
Filed under: uncultured bacterium
Lineage: Bacteria
Description: partial 16S ribosomal RNA
Rfam family: Bacterial small subunit ribosomal RNA
Source: RNAcentral